Molecule: long non-coding RNA, 176 nt
Organism: Mugil cephalus (flathead mullet)
Lineage: Eukaryota; Metazoa; Chordata; Actinopteri; Mugiliformes; Mugilidae
Exons: 3
Source: RefSeq, a predicted model, not a curated record
CAGAGUCAGAAUCAGCUUUAUUGGCCAGGGUGAGCAACUUGGGAACUCAAGUGUCUUCGUUACUUGCAGCUUAAGUCAUUUAAACAACACAGCACAAUUGGAUUUGAUGAUCCUGUCAUGUCUUCUGAGGAGCACGUGUGGGCUGGCGUCGAAGUGAAGGAGACGUUAUGCGGCUG